This is a long non-coding RNA of Gasterosteus aculeatus aculeatus (three-spined stickleback), 3635 nucleotides long. NCBI's taxonomy places the organism in Eukaryota, Metazoa, Chordata, Actinopteri, Perciformes, Gasterosteidae. The record is from Ensembl.
UUAAUCUGAGCCAUUGGGCCCCCGACAAGUACGUCCCGUUCAAUCCCUGGAACCUGUGCUCAACGGGCGAUUUUAUAAAAGACGAGCGUUGUUAAGGAAGAAGGGAAAAGAGUUGUUUUUUAAAGGGAAGUCCUAUCUCUGCCUAAAAAGCAAUAUCUUAUCUUAUUUUAACUUAAAAAGGGGCCUAAUUAGCCUCAAAAAGUCCUGGGAGGAAAAUAUUGCAGUUGUUGUGGUCGAUGUGGAGGUCGAACGUCCCUCUGGGCUCUAACAGUAUCAUGUGUCAUCUCCAUAGAAGCAUUUACCUUUCCAGAGGUAGUCAUCCUUCAAAAAUGUCUUUUAAAUUUGAAAAAUAAAGGAUUAUGCCUAAUAAAUUAUUAAUGAAGCUGGGCAAAGGAGGGCAAGGGUUACUAAGAUGUUAAUUAUUCAUUGUUGGUUGCUCCCUGGUCCACUCUCAAACCGUCUGGGAUGCACACGCACACAAGCCAGAGCGGACAUCUUCUGAUUUAUUUUCAGAAUGACUUCAUUGUGCAUGUGUGUCAUAUAUCUUACAGCAAACUAAUGGGGUUAGAGGUCGUCUACCAUGUGACUUCAGUGAUGGCUAGCCCAGUUUCACUUAUUUGUAAGUUUACUACAGAGUGAAAAGGGACACGAAUAGGAGCAAAUAGGAACGUAUUCAGUGCAGUGUAUUAUUUUGUUUGUACACAUAGUGUAUGUCUAAUCAGUGCACCUCCCCCUUCAGAAAAUACAAAGAGGAAGUAUGCUCAGAAAAGCUCCCUCUAUAGCAUUGUCCAUAUCAAAACCUGACUUCCUCUUGUAAUAAACAACACAAGCGAAGACUGAUGCCCCCCCAAGUACAAAUUAAAGGCCUAUUGUUCCGACGUGCUGCUCUGCCGUAGUGCAAGAAAAUACACAACUUGCACUAUUGUUUGACGUGUUAUUUGCCAUGACAUCAAGGCCGUGUGGUGGUAGAGCACUGCCGCUUCCUGUGUAUCUGAAAAUACACCUAGUGGCGCGGCGCCUGUGUGGAGGCCGACGGGCGGAGAGAUUGAAGGCCUAAAUGUGAGACGAUCUGAGUGCAUGUGUGUCUUUGCUGACUCUAUAAAAGCCUUGUACACGUAGCACACUGUCCACACAGUGACAGGAAGAGCAGCUGUACCCCCUGAGACCGCCCUGUGUGUGUGUGUGUGUGUGUGUGUGUGUGUGUGUGUGUGUGUGUGUGUGUGUGUGUGUACAGGGAAAGGAACUGACCCCGGGCACCAUGACUGCAUCUAUUAUGUUGAGACACGGUUCCCUGUUAGCCGUCAGUGCAUCCAGCUCUGAGGCAGAGGAAAAGAGAUUGCUCAAUAUUGCUUUAAUAGCACUCCAAACGUUUGCCCUACCUCGUCUCCUUUCAAAAGGAAGAGAGGUUGACCUCCUCUACUUCCUCACUGUCCCUAUUGUCCGCUGAAAUGCAACCCAGAUGCCAUGAAAUGGCUGCAGUACUAACAAGUACCCACGCUUAUCCCAUUUCUAACCGCUUUUAUGGGAGCGAAUCUCUGGAAGCUGUCUUCCGUUUCUCUCAAUCAGUGCUGCUUAUAACACAAACUGCUUUCGUUAUUUGAAAAAUUAGGCUACUGUCUCUUGUAGACUAUCACAGCUCAGGCAUUAGUGAGGCUUCCACAUGCCUCUGACAGAGAAAUCAAGGGCCAUCCAAGAAGGAGAUUACUCCUAAAAAUAGAUUAGUGUUUAAUCUAUUAACAGUGACAAGAGAUGAACUAAUAUCCACGGUCCACCAAUUUGAUGUUUUGAUUCUGCUUUAAUUAUGAUUACCAUCAGUUAUAAGCAAGUGUGGAUCUGGGUUACGCACCUCUAAACAUUGCAUUUGAGUUAAAACCACCUCUUCCUAAAAGCUACCAAUAAUAAAAUAUUAUUAAUAUUAACACACGACCCUGAUCGGAUGGCUUUGCAAAUGAAGGUUGCAGGCCGGCGCUUACCGCGGUUUACGGCCUCCGUCUUGUCUGGAGUGCUCGCGUCAUUUGCAACAGCGGCUCUGCAACUAUUGACCUACAUAAAAAACGAGCACUUCAUGCACCAAUAUGCCAACUACGGCGAUGCAGAUAGCGGCUGGUGUCCCGUGACGCUAUGUAGGCUAUAAGGUCACAAGGAGGAGCGGGUCCUGGGUGCACCUGAAUGAACCAGGUGACUUCUAAUGCCUCCUCGGAAGGAUUCUCAGAGUCGUUACAGACGGAAGCUGCUCAGAAGCUGCUCAGUCCAAACGCUCCUGGAGGCGACACUAAUAUUUAAAGUGCUCGUUUUUCUUUACCACAAGAUUGAUACACAGCCGCUCUGACUCUUUUUUGUGUCAAAAAAACAUUAGUCCGAAUAUGAGAAGUGUGUAAGAAAUACAUUUUGAAGCAGAUGAGCGAUUCCCUUUCAGCCAGUGCCUCGUGUGGUCCUGUUGUUAGACAGUCAGUGUAAAACUGAAAGGUUCAGGCUCUAACUGCUCUCGCCUCUCACUUCUUUAUUACCGCUGCCUUUAACAUGCAAAUGAAACCGUUGAGGUUGCAGCUUCCUCCUCAUAGUUGUGACGGAAAGAAAGAGGCCCCUCAUUCGUGCAUUUUCUUAUAUUUCCAACACUGGCCCGGAAUAAAAAUAAACAUCAUGGUGUAUUUUUACACUCCUUUCAAUGCAGGAUGUUUUCUGCCCUUUUAAAAAAAAAUUCUAUCUGACAUUUCGCCGACGGAGCGAUGUGGUGCUUGGGUGAAUGGCCGGCCCUCGUCUGCUUUCAGUGGCUCUAAAUACCCUUGAGGGCACUUCUCCUGUAAAAGCACCGCGAACAAUGAGAAGGCGCCACUGCACCGCUUAAUGGUUUAAUGCAUGUAUGUCAUCACUGAGAGGGACAUUGAGAUUAACAGCAGCGAGAUCCAAUGCAAAGAAGACAUAUACAAGUUGUUUUUUUAACAUCUAAACAUGUUUAAAUAUAAAAGAUAGGAAGUAACUGUUCACAGCAGAGAUGCUAUGAGAACAUAAUGCUCGUGAAAGCAGCGCUUCCACAUAUUUUGGGACCAUAUGAGGGUUGUAAGAAAUGAAUAUUUUAUCCUCUCCAUAAAAAGCACAACAUACACACAUCAUUUAUUCAAAUAGGUCUAAAACACUGAAUAAGUUCUUCGUAAUCGAAGCUCAACAUUUCACUCUUAUUCUGUGAGGGUUCUCAGAAAGGACCUUAACAGCUAUUGUUCCUCCAGCGCAUUCUUUUAAAGCUUCAAAGGAAAAACAACAAGACUCUUUAGCCUCUGACAAUUAACUGCUGAAAUGAUUCACACUAAUUCAUCUCAUCUGCGCAUCUCUGCAGAGUACUGGACCGGCCACGGUGGGACCAGUGACUAGCAGGGGGACAGGUGACAGCAGAGAGCACCAGCUAAAAGGAUCCACCCGGAGGCUUACGCUGCCAGCAUCCUGCCAUUUGAUGACAAGGCUCCGCCUGUCCGACUGCCUUUCCUCGCUGAGCCCCCGCAGGGAGCCUGCCGAGGGGCGUAGCCGAGCAAAAUGGCUCCAACUGAGAAGAACGAUACGAUGCUGACUCAGACCACAAAACUAAAUCUGCCUGGUAACCUCUGCACCACUUUGCUCACAUUGUGGGGAGCUUAUUUUUUUAA